Molecule: ribosomal RNA, 957 nt
Filed under: Winkia neuii
Lineage: Bacteria; Bacillati; Actinomycetota; Actinomycetes; Actinomycetales; Actinomycetaceae
Description: bacterial SSU rRNA
Rfam family: Bacterial small subunit ribosomal RNA
Source: RNAcentral
GAACAUAAGAGUUUGAUCCUGGCUCAGAUUGAACGCUGGCGGCAUGCUUUACACAUGCAAGUCGGACGGCAGCACAGAGAAGCUUGCUUCUUGGGUGGCGAGUGGCGAACGGGUGAGUAAUAUAUCGGAACGUACCGAGUAAUGGGGGAUAACUAAUCGAAAGAUUAGCUAAUACCGCAUAUUCUCUGAGGAGGAAAGCAGGGGACCUUCGGGCCUUGCGUUAUUCGAGCGGCCGAUAUCUGAUUAGCUAGUUGGUGGGGUAAAGGCCUACCAAGGCGACGAUCAGUAGCGGGUCUGAGAGGAUGAUCCGCCACACUGGGACUGAGACACGGCCCAGACUCCUACGGGAGGCAGCAGUGGGGAAUUUUGGACAAUGGGCGCAAGCCUGAUCCAGCCAUGCCGCGUGUCUGAAGAAGGCCUUCGGGUUGUAAAGGACUUUUGUCAGGGAAGAAAAGGCUGUUGCUAAUACCGACAGCUGAUGACGGUACCUGAAGAAUAAGCACCGGCUAACUACGUGCCAGCAGCCGCGGUAAUACGUAGGGUGCGAGCGUUAAUCGGAAUUACUGGGCGUAAAGCGAGCGCAGACGGUUACUUAAGCAGGAUGUGAAAUCCCCGGGCUCAACCUGGGAACUGCGUUCUGAACUGGGUGACUAGAGUGUGUCAGAGGGAGGUAGAAUUCCACGUGUAGCAGUGAAAUGCGUAGAGAUGUGGAGGAAUACCGAUGGCGAAGGCAGCCUCCUGGGAUAACACUGACGUUCAUGCUCGAAAGCGUGGGUAGCAAACAGGAUUAGAUACCCUGGUAGUCCACGCCCUAAACGAUGUCAAUUAGCUGUUGGGCAACUUGAUUGCUUAGUAGCGUAGCUAACGCGUGAAAUUGACCGCCUGGGGAGUACGGUCGCAAGAUUAAAACUCAAAGGAAUUGACGGGGACCCGCACAAGUAGCGGAGCAUGUGGUUU